GUCUCUGUAUUGCAAGGGAUUGCGCGUUGAACUUCUAAUCCAAAGGUCGUGGGUUUGAAUCCCAUCUGGGACG
This 73-nucleotide transfer RNA is filed under the name Trichonephila clavata. It matches the Rfam family "tRNA". Rfam says of the family: Transfer RNA (tRNA) molecules are approximately 80 nucleotides in length. Their secondary structure includes four short double-helical elements and three loops (D, anti-codon, and T loops). The record is from Rfam by way of RNAcentral. Lineage: Eukaryota; Metazoa; Arthropoda; Arachnida; Araneae; Nephilidae.